This is a long non-coding RNA of Panthera uncia (snow leopard), 10362 nucleotides long. RefSeq lists it as uncharacterized. The transcript is spliced from 2 exons. NCBI's taxonomy places the organism in Eukaryota, Metazoa, Chordata, Mammalia, Carnivora, Felidae. The record is from RefSeq and is a predicted model, not a curated record.
ACUGCGAGAUCAUGACCUGAGCCGAAGUUGGACACUUAACCGACUGCACCACCCAGGUGUCCCUCUGUAUUAGGUUUCUAGUGAAAAGGAGCUAUGAUAAUAGAUAGUUGAGUAAUAAAAGAAUGAGAGAAAUAUCUUAAAGUUCAUAGUAGAAAUAAAAUUACCCAAGGAUUUUCUAUAAUCUAUGUAAGUAAUCAUAGUGGUAAAUAGCAAUAAAUCAUGUAUUACUUUUAUGUAGCAUGUUUGUAGGAUUCUUCUAGGUGUUUCACAUGAUACCAGGAUGUGGCCUUCACUUAAUUCUGAAGUUGACCAUUAAGUGAGGAGGUUAAAGUUUUAAAGUACUUAGGGCACAGAAGCAUGUAAGUAUAUUUUCUGUGGUGGUGUCUUGUAAAAAAGUUUGCAUUCUAAUGCAGAUAUGACAGAGACAUGGGCAAGUGUUCUAAUCUCUGUUUUCUAGGUCUCCCAUCAUCUGGAAGAGAUGCCACUAGCUAUGAGAAUGAAUGUCUGCUUUGCUUGGGAUACUGAAACUUAUGCAAAAUUAUUACUGUUCCCUUUCUCAACAUAUUAUGAUAGGUGGAAAGGAUUGGAACCAAGGCUGUACCAGUUUCAGAAUACUGAUGAUAAAUUGGCAUGGUUAUUAGCAAAUGCAAAAUUAUUGGUUAGUAUAUUCUCAGGGGAUCAAGAAUUACCAUGUCAGGUCAGCUUAAGGGAAAGCUCUCUGGUGGUGAUUUGAAGGAUACAGGGUAUAUAUUCAAGAUAAAAGGUAUUUGAAAAGGGAUAUUUUAAGGAAAAAAAAAUCACAGAGAAAGACAUUUAUGAGUUUCAUUGAAGGGAGAAUGGGUUUGACAAGAAUUGUGAUCACAGGGUUUUGUGUGAUGGUAUGCUUAUUUGUUUUAAAAGUAGGCAUGGGAGACGAAGAAACAGAUCUAGAGGAAUAUAGUAUCAGGCUGAUGAUUCACAGGGCUGUUCUAGUACCAUGAACAUAGAAAAACAGGUGUGUUGUGUUCUUUUAUCCUAUACAUAUCACACAGUUCUCAUUAGCGUACUACAGAGGGAUUCUUUUAUCAUGUUUUAUCAAGUCUUUAUGAUAAAUUAUAUAACCAGGGUGCUUGGUGGCUCAGUCAGAUAAGCAUCUGACUCUUGAUUUCAGCUCAGGUCGUGAUCUCAAGGUUCCUAGGUUCCAGCCCACUGACGGUGCAGAGCCUGUUUGGAAUUCUCUCUCUGCUCCUCCCCUGCUCGUGUGUGCACGCUCACUCUCUCCCAAAAUAAACUUUAAAAAGUACUAUGAAUUACAUAACCAGAACUAAAAACUGUGACUUAAAAAUUUUUAAAGAUCUAAAUCAUUAAUUAUCCUGAUUCUGCUGCUUUGUAGCUGAGACACAUUUCUAUGUCCUUUCCAUCUGUUUGGGUACAUGAUAAAAUGAAAAAAAGGACAGUGUUUUCCUGGCAAGAUUUCCAUUUUCUGGGGCACCUGGCUGACUCAUUUGGUGGAGCAUGCAACUCUUGAUCUCGGUGGUGACUUCAAGCCCCACGUUGAGCGUGGAGUCUGGUUAAAAAAAGAAAAGGAAUAGAAGUUCAUGAGAUCUUGAAUUAUGUAUUUGAAACCCAUGUAGAGAUUUCAUCUUUUUUCUUAUGACUUGAUAAAUUUCUAAUAUUUUAUUAGUGAAAAUGGGUUCCAACUUGAGGUUGACAUCCUGUUCUUGAAUUCUAUUAAAAUUCCUUCCCUGAAAACUGCUUGGUACUUUUGCUUGUGUGUCUGGCAUUAUAUCUCUUUUUCAUAUUAGCAUUGCCAUUUAGCAUUAAGCGAAAGCUGACUCAUGUUUAAUUACCAGAGGAAUUACAAAUGAGCACCACAAAUACUGAAAGAAGUCAUUGAUUUGAUAUUCCAGCAAAUACCAGAAGAUGUUGUAAUGAUUUUCCAGUUAUAAAAAGUGAAUUGUCUGUUUAACUGUAGAAGUCUAACCGAAUGUGCUUAAUGCAUUGUAUUAGUCAAUGCAAAAGUUUAAAUAUAUCCAGCUGAAAGAAUGUAUUGUCAUGCUUAUACUAAAUGAUUUCUUUGGGAUUUAACAGAUGCAUUUGGUAUCUUAUACUUAAUAUAGGAAUUUAUGGAAGGAAAAGCAGCUAAAGUUGCUUUGGCAUUGUACAUAGGUUAUAGCAUGUAUUAUUUUAUUUAUUUUUUUAUUAAAAACAUUUUUUUAGUUAUGUAUUUUGAGAGAGCACAAGAGCUUGAUCCAGGGAGAGGCAGGGAGAGGGGAAGAAGAAGAACCCCAAGCAGUCACCACAGAGCCUCAUGCGGGGCUUGAACUCAUGAACUGUGAGAUCAUGACUUGAGCCAGUUAAGAGUCUUGACACUUAACUGACUGAGCCACCCAGGUGCCCCUAGCACCUAACAUUUUAGUAAGUGCCAUAGAUAGUAAUUUAAAACUAGGGCCAAAAUAGUAGUUUUCAGUUAUUUGCCUUAAUUUUUUUAAAUAUUUAUUUUGAGAGAAAGAGGUAGAGAGAGAGAGGAAGAGAAUCUCAAGCAGGCUCGACAGUCAGUGCAGGGCUGAUGCAGGGCUGGAUCUCAUUAGCCAGGAGAUCAUGACUUUAGCCGAAAUUAAGCAGCCAUCCAGGCAUCCCUGCUUAAUUUUUAUUUUUACCAACAGUGUUGAGGUAAGACAUAGGAGGUAAGACAUAUCUUGAGUUGUGUGUCUUCGUAAUAUUAAUUUGGUCUCAUCUCAGGGUGCGUGGGUGGCUCAGUUGGUUGAGAGUCCCACUUUGGCUCAUGUCAUGAUCUCACAGUCUGUGAGUUUGAGUCCUGCGUCGGGCUCUGUGCUGACAGCUCAGGGCCUGGAGCCUGCUUCGGAUUCUGUGUCUCCCUCUCUCUCUGCCCCUCCCUCACUCAUGCUCUGUCUCUCUCUGUCUCAAAAAUAAAUAAACGUUAAAAAAAAUAAAAAAAAAAUAAUUUGGUCUCAUCUCAUGAAAUUCCAAUUAUUUAUCAUCCUUCUCUGACAAUUACAUUGAUUUCAAAGAGGAAUUUGAAUUUUCUGUCUGUUUUAUGGAAUUGAAAUACAAAAUAGCUCUUCAGAUUUAAAGUUGUAAUAGAAAACAUCAUUGAUCAUGUUUUGUGACUAUUUUAUUUUUUUUAAUGUUUAUGUACUCUUGAGAGAGAGACAGCAUGAGGGGUGGGCAGACACACACACACACACACACACACACACACACACACACAGAAUCUGAAGCAGGUUCUAGACUCUGAACUGUCAGCACAGAGCCUGAAGGCACUUCAACUCUGGAACAGCAAGAUCAUGACCUGGGCGGAAGUCGGACGAUUAACUGACUGAGCCACCCAGGCGCCCCUUGUGACUGCUAUUUUAAAUAAUGAUCAUUGGAGAAAUCAGUACUCCUGUGUUUUGUUUUGGGUAACCUUUUUCCAGUGUUGAUUAGGGAGGAGAGGCUUACUUUUUCACCCAUUUUGUAGGUAGUACUGAUCAAAAAUCAAGAAAUUAAUUUGAUGUUUUAGAUCUGGACUAUACAAGAAGCUAAAGUUGAUGCUUACGGGGACAACUGGAUGGCUCAGUCGGUUAAGUGACUGACUUCGGUUCAGGUCAUGAUCUCACGGUUCGUGGGUUCGAGCCCCAUAUCAGUCUCUGUGCUGACAGCUCAGAGCCUGGAGCCUGCUUCGGAUUCUGUGUCUCCCUCUCUCUCUCUCAAAAAUAAACAUUAGGGGCGCCUGGGUGGCGCAGUCGGUUAAGCGUCCGACUUCAGCCAGGUCACGAUCUCGCGGUCCGUGAGUUCGAGCCCCGCGUCAGGCUCUGGGCUGAUGGCUCGGAGCCUGGAGCCUGUUUCCGAUUCUGUGUCUCCCUCUCUCUCUGCCCCUCCCCCGUUCAUGCUCUGUCUCUCUCUGUCCCAAAAAUAAAAAAUAAAAAAUGUUGAAAAAAAAAAAUUAAAAAAAAAAAAUUUAAAGCUUAUGCUUGUGGAUUAUAUGCUGUAGUGUCGGUAAUUUCCCUUGUUAUGAGUAAACCUAGAAGUAAAAUUAUGAGAUAUCUUAAAAGGAGCAAGAGUGGUUGAAAAUUUAAUUGGUUUAGUAACUACUUUAGGGUAUCAUCUACACAAGAGAUACCGAGGGGUAUGUUUACCUUCAGAAUAUUUUCUAGUAUAUACUUAUUUUUAAGAAGGUUGUUAAUAAAAUAAUAUUUGAAUAGUGGCUGUGCUAAAGAGUAUGUGUAUAUUUGUGGAAGAAGCUUUGUUAAUAAGUGGUGGUUUUCAAGGAACUUUUGUUCCAGAUUGAGAGAUAAUAAAGAAAAUAAUAUUUACUACUCAUAAGACCAGCAUGAUUAUCAGAUGAAUAGUAUACUAAAUAAAUACAAAACUCAAAGUAAAUGACAGAACCCUUAAAGUGGGAUAGUUGGGCAUGCCUUUAUGAAGAAAUUAGCAUUUAAGCUAUAUCUUGAAAGAUAGGAUUGCAUCUUUGCAACGAAAAGAAUGGGAGGGAUUCAGUUGGAGAAAACAGCCAGGGCAAAAGUUUGGAAGUGGAAUAAGCAGAAUUGGUGUGUGUGUGUGGGGGGGGUUUGUUUUUGUUUCUGUUUUCACAAUGAUUAAACUAUUGAGCAUAGGGGAAAAAAGUAAAAGCUAAGGCUACAACAGCAAGUUUUAUUUUAAUGUUCUAUGCUGGAAUAUUCUACCUAUUUAAGAUGUUUAAAUGGGGGAUAGACAUCGAAACAGUUUUUCUUAUUUGAAGAUUAAUUCAGUUACAAUGGUGUUAGAUGUGCUAUACAUACAGUUAAAGCUGUGAUAACCAGUCUCCAUUAACCAGAGUUAAUGUGGGGGGGGGCAAGAGAGGGGUUAUAAUGACUGUGAUUUUAAGCUUAGUAGGGGGAUAAGUAAGGACUUUUGGGGUGGAGGGAAAAGUUGGAUCAAUGGAUUAUAAACUGAUGGGAUUUAAAAAUUGUUGGAGAGAUGGGAAGUGGGUGGAGGAUGGGGAAAAUAUAAAAAGCAUUAAGAAUAUACUUACCCUGAUGAGCACUGAGUAAUGUAUAGACUUGUUGAAUCCUUGUACACCUGAAACGAAUAUAACAUAUAUUAAUUACACUUUAACAAAACAAAAAAGAAUUUUUGGAGUAGAGGUACUGGAGUGAACGAGUGGGAAAGACAGAACUUUGUGGUUGGGAGAGCACAGUGUUUGAAAUAGAGAUUAUGGAAGGGUUGAGAUUAUUGGUAAUGACUGGGAGAAUGAAAUGGCUAAAGUAGUUUGGAGGACAAGAUCAUAGGAAACGAAGUUAGGAAAGUAAGACACCAGAGUUUUGUAAAAUCAUCUAACCUGGAUGUUAGAAUGGUAAUAUUGUGCAGUUAUAUACUGCAUGGUUUAAUAAGUGCCCUCAUACACACUCUUAUGUAAUUCUUUUGGCAACUCAGGUAGAUUAGGUAGAAAUUGUUUUGGAGAUGAUGAAACAGAGGCCCAGAUAUUUUAAGUAUUUUGCCUAAUACAGAGCUGGAUUUUGAACUUUAAUCUUCUGAUUCUUUUGGUAGUAUUCUUUCUGCUGUGUUAUAUAGAUUGGCCACUUUUUGAGACGAGUGUUGGUAUUGUCUACGGUACACAAAGCAUUGUUUUGUUUUUUUUUUAACUAUCUUUUUAAUGUUUAUUUUUGAGAGAGACUGAGACAGAAUGUGAGUGGGUUAGGUAGGGGCAGAGAGAAAGGGAGAUACAGAAUCAGAAGCAGGCUCCAGGCUCCUAGCUGUCGGCACAGAGCCCGACGUGGGGCUCAAACUCACGAGGUGUGAGAUCAUGACCUGAGCCAAAGUUGGAUGCUCAACUGACAGAGCCACCCAGGUGCACCAGCAUUGUUUCUUUUUAAUACAAGGUAGCAUUUUCUACCAGUUAACUGGUAGGAAAUAGUUGGUAUGUUUAUCAUUAAAUAUUAUAUUUUUUUUCUGGAAACAUCUUGGUGUUAUAAAUUUAAUUUGGUUAUUUAUGACUUCUUGCUGGCCUAUUCACUGUGUAUAUAGGUCUACCAGACAAUUCCAUUUCCCAAACAUUUAUUGAGUGACCAUGUGUUAGCAUCAUAAAGAAUAAGAAACGAGAUUAAGAAGAAUAGAUGGGGAAAGAGAAUGGUACUUUUACUGGAUACUGUCAAAUUAGGGUACUAUAAACUUAUCCUUGACCACUACACCAUCAAAAGUUGACUGCUGUGAUAUCUAGUGGUGGUACUAUCAGCUGCUAUUUGUUGGGUACUUAUUACAUUCCAGGACCUGGGCCAAGGCAUUUUAGAGAUAUUUAUGUAAUCUUAAGUAACCUUUUAAACCAGGUGGUGGUAUCUCUAUCUUUUUACAGGCGAGAGAACUGAGGAUCAGAGAAAUCGAGACCAUAUAGUUAGAAAACUCAAAUUUGAACCUUGAAUGCUCCUAAGCUACAGUUUUUUUCUCUUGUUUCUGAUUUCUCAAGUAUCUGAUUCAAACUCACUAACUUAUGUUUUAAGACUCUUUUUUUUUUUAAUUUUAACAUUUAAAAAAAGUUUUUGUUUAUUUUGAGAGAGAGGGAGAGAGAGAAUCCCAAAUAGUGUAGAGCCAGAUGUGGGGCUUGAAUUUAGAAACCUUGAGAUUGUGACCUGAGCCAAAAUCAAGAGUUGGACACUUGGGGCAUCUGGGUGACAAGGUUGGCUAAGUGUCCGACUCUUGAUAUCAGUUCAGGUCAUGAUCUCACGGUACUGAGGAUUUAGCCCCAUGUCGGGCUCUGUGCUGACAGUACAGAGCCUGGAGCCACCCAGGUGCCCCAGGUGUAUAUCUUCUUUUCCCUUCUUUGUCCUGCCAUCCUACAGUUUCUGUUGUUAUCUGGACAUGCUAGGCUCUUUUAUUAUUCUUGUUUUUGCAUAUACUCUAACCUGCCUGGAAUUCCUACUGCUGUACUCAAUUUUGUACUCAAUUUUGGUGUCACCUCUGACAUAUUCCUUAGGCAGAGUUAGUUACUCCAUUUUCUGUGCUCCCACAACACUUUCGUAAUAUUUCAGUAUUACAUUUACUUGUAAUAGUAGCAGCUAACAGUAUACAGUGCUUCCUCUGUUGUGUGCACCAUUAUCUCAUGUAAUCUCCCACUAAUGCAGGUCCUAUUACCCCCAUUUUAUAGUGAAAAACUUAGCCAGAUCUCAUGGCUGGCAAGUUGAAGAGGUAGCUUUCGAACCAGUCGCAGCCUUUAAUCACUGUGCUUUUAUCUCUCCUGCUGUAUACUUCUUAUGAUUUAUCUUAUCAUACCAGACUUAGAAUUCCUUGGGGCGCCUGGGUGGCUCAGUCGGUUGGGCAUCGGACUUGGGCUUAGGUCAUGAUCUCGUGGUCCGUGAGUUCGAGCCCCAUGUCAGGUUCUGUGCUGACAGCUCAGAGCCUGGAGCCUGCUUCAGAUUCUGUGUCUCCCUCUCUCUCGGCCCCUCCCCCACUCAUGCUCUAUCUCUCUCUGUCUCUCAAAAAUAAACGUUAAAAAAGAAUUUCUUGAAUGCAAAGUCUUUGUUUUAUUCAUUUUUCUAGCAUUGAGCCAGGGUAUGGCACCUAAAAGUUGCUCAGAUAUUUGAAUUAAUGGUUAAGUAAAGUCAGGUAUGUUAAGGAGAGGCUUAGUCUGAGAAGAAUGUAGACUUGGGGACUCAGCUUCCUGCUGUGCUGUGGAUUAUCUAGGUUGGACUGUUAUUUUCUGUGAUAUCUUAUAGAGCCAGUUGAGGGAUAUUUCAGGUAUGGAGGCUGUAUUAUGGCCAUUUAUAGUUUCACUUUAUUACAUAUUGUAUAUAACCACACCAAUCAUCUUUUAAUUGUGAGUUUCCUUUUCUGUGACACAUCGUACAUAUACUUGUUUUUCUGUGGACUAGGGCAGAAAUUCUUUCAAACUUCUGAAAAGAGCUAUCAUACCAGCCAGUGGUAAAAGAAAUAAUAUAUGUUACUGUGGGUCCCAGAUGAAUUGUUUAACUAUUGUCUCCCUAUCUUUUUGAAUGCCUCAAGAAUUGUUUGUUGUAUUUUCAUGCAUUUCUGAAAAACCCCUAUGGGUUUUUUUUUUUUUAAGUUGGUAAUUUUUCUGUGUUGUGCUUUUUUUUUUUUUGGAAACCAUUUCUUUCUCGUUCUAGUUGAAUUAUCCAGAAAAUUUGAUAUGUCAAACAGGUGUGCAUGUAUUUUUAGACUAGUAUGUGAUAUGCUCAUACCCUUGACCCAGUGUAAUAUGUUUUCAAGUUCUUAGUUGUUUGCUGAGAUUGCUAGCCAAUUAGCUUUCCUACCAAUUUAUGUAGAAUUAAGUUUAAUAAAUGAAUUUUUCUCUGGGUAUUGACUGGUCUCAAGAGUGCUUUAAAAUAAUUAUAAUUUUGUUCCUCUUUAAACCUCACAAUCUAUGUAGUAAUGCUAUAGUGUAAUAAUGUGGAUUUUACAGCUGAGGAAACCAGCCUAGGCCUGGACAGAGGUUUAGUAAUGUCCAGGUGAUACAGCUAGCAGAUGGUUGUGAUUUGAUUUCUGGUGUCUCUGAUAUCAGAGAUCUUUGGUUUUAUAAUUGCAUACUGGAAGCCAUUGUACAUUAGACAGUAUGAUUAUGAAAACAAUACUAAAGAAUUGGGGGUUUUGAGGAGUUGACCACAAUGAUGUUUCUGUCGACUAAGGGGAAAUAAACUUUAAGUAUACUAAUAAAAUGAUACAAUAAUUCCCUAGAAUGUUCAUUUCCUUUUGGAUAGGGUUUUUCCUCCUAAGACAUUUUUAUUCUGAAUUGUUUAGGAUAAUAUUAGAGUUAGUUUUUUUGGAAUGAAUAGAGAGGGGGACGGGGAUGAUGUCUCUUAUUUAUUUGGUGACAGAGGAGGACUGGUUGUGUUCAUAGAUGGAAUAUGAAGCUAUCCUGUAUGGCUCUGUCUGCUAAACACACCAUUUUUUGUCCAUGGUAGGUAAAAUCAGCAUCAUUAUGUGUUUUCAAAUUAGAAGGUCCAAAUUAUGAACAAGUAUGUUGCUUGAGUUGUAAGGUCGGGCUAUGAUUAAUAUUUCCUCUUAGUGACAUUAGAUUAUCUCUAAGAGAAUAAUAAGUACAGUACAACAGAUAAGUUUUGCUUGGGGAUAUUUGAAGCAGAGAGAGACAGGAAUGUCUAUAAUAUGCAGCCUAAUAACCAGAGCCAGGUGCUAAAAGAUAGGGCUAGCAUUGAGUGGUAGAAUAUACUGCCAAAGAUAAAACUACUUUAAACUUGGCUCAUACCUAGUUUAGGGAAAAGUCAGACAGGAUUUAAAACUUUAGUUUGCAUAAUCCUUGUGUUAAAUAAUUGAUUCAUCAGAGAUCUUGGAUCCAGUGACUUUGACUAUGAGUAAUAUUUUUUCAUUAGUUUUUUUUUUGGAAAUUGUGUUAAAUUUUAAUAGUCAUUGUCAGAUGGAAGAGAAUAUCACCUCCUUAUGUCUGAAAUGUUGUGUUUUGUUAUUUGAGAUUGUGAUGUUUAUUGUGAUGUAAACAAUUUUUUUAAUGUUUAUUUUUUGAGAGAGACAGCAAGCGUGAGCACGCAUGAGUGGGGGAAGGGCAGAGAGAGAGGGAGAGAGAGGAUCCAAAGCAGACUCCAUGCUGACAGCAGAGAGCCUGAUAUGGAGCUCGAACCCAUAGAACCAUGGGAUCAUGACCUGAGCCGAAGUUGGAUACUUAACCAACUGAGCCACCCAGGUGCCCCUGUUUGUUGUGAUUUUUAAAGAAUUGUCCUGAUAAUUUCCUCUUCUCUAGUUUUAAUUUUCCCUAUGGGAUUGUAUAAAUUCCAAAAUAGCACUGGUUAGCAAAUAACAAGUUUCCACUUAUAUGGAUAAAUUUAGGGCAGUCCCUGUCUCUAUUUAUAUUUAAAUGAUCAUCACAGCUAAAUUUGUAAUAGAGAAGUUUCCACAUUUGUCCUGUGCUUGGAAGCAGAAUCCUUGACCUAUAAGGAACUAGAGCUACUGUGUAUUUUAAUGACCUGCAAGUCAGCCAGGUUCUAUUCAUUUAUUAUUAGAUCUACCACAAGUUGAAGCUUUUUUUAAAAAAAAUUUUUUUUUUUAACAUUUAUUUAUUUUUGGGACAGAGAGAGACAGAGCAUGAAUGGGGGAGGGGCAGAGAGAGAGGGAGACACAGAAUCAGAAGUAGGCUCCAAGCUCCCAGCCAUCAGCCCAGAGCCCGACGUGGGGCUCGAACUCAUGAACCGUGAGAUCGUGACCUGAGCUGAAGUCGGACGCUUAACCGACUGAGCCACCCAGGCGCCCCUGAAGCUUUUUUUUUUGAGAGAGAGGCAGUUGAAGGAAAGUCUGUUGGGUAUAUGUAUACAUCUGUGUACAUUUUAACAUCUUUUUUUUCUUUAAAGUGAAAUUGCUUCUGAGGUGCCGGGGUGGCCUGUGUCUCCCUCUCUUUCUCUGCACCUAUCCCUCUUGCACUGUCUCUCU